CUAAGGCUCCAGAGGAAGCCACGGCUAACUCUGUGCCAGCAGCCGCGGUAAUACAGAGGCGGCAAGCGUUGUUCGGAAUUAUUGGGCGUAAAGAGCACGUAGGCGGCCUUGCAAGUCAGUCGUGAAAGCCUUCCGCUUAACGGAAGAAUGCCAGCUGAUACUACAGGGCUUGAGUACGGGAGGGGAGAGUGGAACUUCUGGUGGAGCGGUGAAAUGCGUAGAUAUCAGAAGGAACGCCGGCGGCGAAAGCGACUCUCUGGCCCGAAACUGACGCUGAGUGUGCGAAAGCUAGGGGAGCAAACGGGAUUAGAUACCCCGGUAGUCCUAGCCGUAAA
This 335-nucleotide ribosomal RNA is filed under the name uncultured Planctomycetales bacterium. RNAcentral describes it as "bacterial SSU rRNA". It matches the Rfam family "Bacterial small subunit ribosomal RNA", at positions 473 to 806 of the family's 1533-position model. Lineage: Bacteria; Pseudomonadati; Planctomycetota; Planctomycetia; Planctomycetales. The record is from RNAcentral.